This 465-nucleotide long non-coding RNA is filed under the name Rattus norvegicus (Norway rat). RNAcentral's name for it is "long non-coding RNA NONRATT033332". Lineage: Eukaryota; Metazoa; Chordata; Mammalia; Rodentia; Muridae. The record is from RNAcentral.
GUAGGAUGCCGGUGACAGUGGGCUGAGAUGCGCUCCAGAGGCUGCUGACAGAAUCCACAAGGAAACCCUGCAAGAUGGAGGAAGGGGUCUCUAAACAGGUGGACUUAGGGAGGGGUUCCCUCCAUUGCAUCCAGGAAGAAAUGCCGGGGUACAGAUCUUCUCACAAGCGUUGUGCCUCCAUAUCCUCAUCCCAGGCAAGCACGUGGACCAAAGCAGACAGGUUUCACGGGCUGGAGAGAUGGCUCAGCGGUUAAGAGCACCCAACUACUCUUCUAGAGAUCCUGAGUUCAGUUCCCAGCAACCACAUGGUGGCUCACAACCAUCUGUAAAGGGAUCUGAUGCCCUCUUCUGGUGUAUCUGAAGACAGCUACAGUGUACUUAUAUAUAAUAAGUGAAUAAAUCUUUAAAAAAAAAAAAUAAAAUAAAGACAGGUUUCACUGUGUAGCCCUGGCUGUCCUGGACCUU